AAAGAAAACGAUGAAGAGUGUAUUCCAUCAGUGUCCAGAUGAAAAUGCCAAAAACCACCAACAGUGCCACCUCUGGAACAGUACGACCCAUACGGAUAGAAACAGAGAUGCUAUAGCACACAACUGGAAGCCAUAUGGUAGGAAUUGCCCACCAAACUGUGCGAGUCAGAAACUCCCAAAAGUCACUAGCAAAAAAUCGAGGACCUUCCUUGCUGACAAUGGGCUGGUGAACCCACUCUUGAUAAGCUUCUCCAAGGUGGCCAACCUGGUGUACAAGUGGCUUAUCUAAAUCCACAGUGAAGCCUUGUGCAACCAUCGUGGACACCAGCUAAUUGAUAGAAAAAUGCAGAUUUUUUUUUGCUCAAUUGAAAGGAUCCCUAAGUGGUGCCCUCUCUAUGUGCA
Molecule: unclassified non-coding RNA, 402 nt
Filed under: Hevea brasiliensis (rubber tree)
Lineage: Eukaryota; Viridiplantae; Streptophyta; Magnoliopsida; Malpighiales; Euphorbiaceae
Source: RNAcentral